RNA transcript from Cheilinus undulatus (humphead wrasse), 5402 nucleotides. RefSeq lists it as uncharacterized. Lineage: Eukaryota; Metazoa; Chordata; Actinopteri; Labriformes; Labridae. The record is from RefSeq and is a predicted model, not a curated record. The transcript is spliced from 4 exons.
AUCCAAACAUUUUAUCAAUCGAUUAGACAAUCAUUCAAACUACUUUUUUUUCUAUUUUGAAAUAUUAAAGAUGUUCGGAUGAAGUUAAAGUUGGCAUAUUCCCAUAGUGAUCAUUCUGUUACUCGUCAUAAUUAUGAAAGCAAGACUAAGAAAAUAUUUACUGGUGUUUUUAACUUGUGGUUUAUACUUAUAAAGAGGUGAAAGACAGAACCAGCGUAGACUUCAAUAUUUAACUGAAUCAAGGAAAAAGUAAAGGCAGAAUUGAUCUAGAUGUUUAUAGUCACAGUGCCUCAACCUGAAGAGGUUGAAAAAAUCUCGAUUAGCUCAUUUUUUAUCAACAUGGUUUUCAUGUCUCAUUUGCUGCACUAAACGUGCAAAACGCGCCGAGUGGGAUAAGCAUCUUUUAGUCCAUCGACUACCAGAUAUAGAAUAGAAAAUUUCAAAGUUACAUCUAAUAUUCUUAGAGAUGGAAGCAACAAAAGAGUAUCGUUCACACAUAAACUUCUUUCUAAGGGUGAAGGGAAACAUUCCUUAGAGAGUAAUGAUCCCAUUUAGACUGUUUUUUAGCUACCUUUGUGUAAAACCAAAGCUGUGAUAGUUUUAAUUUGAUAGUACACACAUAUUUAUCCGAGUGUAAAUGUAGGAUGGGUCUUAAUGAGCAGGUGUUGCAUUUCUGUAGUCCUUUUUGUCAUUUUAAAAAAUGGAAAAAAAGCGGUCGAAAUAGCUGAUAUCACCCUACUUGACGACUCUUUGAAUUUCCCUCAGGAUUAAUAAAGUAGGCUAUCUAUCCAUCUAUCGAAUUUAACAGAGACGUCUGACGUUGAUGGCGGGGAGGAGCUAAAAUCACCUUACCGGAAGUCAACGCGUCAGUCAGCAGCAGUGUUGCCAGUUUGGGCGGUUUUCCGCGGGUAACAAUGGACUGGUUCUCCUCGAGUUAGCCAUGGUUUUAACUGCAUCUUGACAGACUGGAUUACAUUCUUAAUUGUUUCGUUAGGUUAAUUUAAACGAUAGUUACGAAAGUAAGUGAGUUCUCCUUGAUGUCCGUGAACGUCUCAAACUGUCAGCAGCUCUUUCGAAGCCUGUCAGUCUCUCUCAGUAUCACGUAGAGUUCACUGGGAGCAGCCCUGUUGUGACUGGGAGAGAGCGCAAGAGCGCGCGCGAGAGAGAGAUGAAUGUGCACGUCGGGACGUGCGUGGUUUUUGUGCGCGUGCGUGCCUGCAAGAGAAACAAACUCUCAGAGACCGAUGAAGACGGCAAAUUUAGUUGUUUUGGCGUUGGCGACGGCCCACAGUAGCCUGUACUGAGUUAGCGAAAACAAGCGAAACUGGAAAACGUCAUAUUGAACAGGAAGAGCGGAGGUCCUGUUAAAAUAAGCAAAUAGUAGAACUCUUCAGUAUUAAACCUUUUAGCAAGCAAAACAUUCUGGCGAGAGGAAUUAUGAAUUAGCCUACAGUUAUUGUAUUACACACCCAGCUGCCACAUAGUGAUGUACCUAUAGCUAUACCUCUACAAAGUUAUGAUCGGAUGUUUAUCUGUGUUCAUCGAUGUGUUCAUGGAGCAACCAGCAUCUAAAGGUGACAUAUCAGCACUUAAUUAUUUUGAUAAGCCUGAGUGUGUGCAUGUGCAUGUACGGCACACAGACGUGAGCAAACCAGCUACUUGCUGUUUGGUUUUAUGAAAAACAGAUUAAUUUUGACAUGUUGUUGAGCUCUGUAAUAUUUGCCGGUUUUGAGGAAUAGAGAUGCAGAUGGUAGUCAUUCACCUGAGAUCGUGGUUGGCUACAGGUUGUUGCUUGUGGUUUCAGGAGUACAUUUUGGUGUGCUUAAGCUGUCAGUGAGCUUUUUUUAGUAUUGUACGUUCGUCAAAAGAAAAAGACAGCACUAAAUAUUGAUUAUUAUGCGUUUUUUGUGCAAUCUGGCGGUUUUUAGACAGGGUCUGGGCUGGGAACUAACAGUCGUAUCUGGCAACACUGGUUGGAGCUCCUGGCGAGCAGGAAUGUACCAAGAAGAAAAAAAAAGUGUUUGAAAGAGAAGAAGACAGAAGAACAAGAAGACGGUGUUUUAGGAGAAAAUGAUGCGUUCAUUGAAUGUCCAUCAAACCCUCCAGUUGUUUUAUGGAGAGGAAGACAUAGAUGGUGAGCCUCUUUCAUCUUCAUUGUCCGAGGAGGAAGAGGAGAGUGACGCUGAGGAUGAUGAGGUGACUGACCCGUCUUUUAUCAUCGAGGAAGACAGCUAUGAAGAAAAUGGACCCUCUGCACAGAGGCCUACCCAGAGAGGGUGUGGGAGGAGGAGUAAGACAAGGUCCAGAUCUCCACAAGCUCAGCCCCACAAUCGCUUGGAGCCUUGGAGAACAGAAAAAGACCCUGACACUGCCCCACAAAUCAGCCGGUUCAUGCCACGAAGAACACCAGGAGCCCAGGUGGACACUCAUGCAGCCUAUUCCCCUCGAGACCUGUUCCUGCUGUACUUCUCCCCAACCACAGUGCUGACCCUCUGCAGAAACACCAACAAGUAUACAGCAAAAAACAAAGAAAUGGGGAAGAAGUACAAAUGGGAGGAUGUUGAAGUUGAGGAGUUCUACAAGUUUCUUGGGCUCCUUACAUACACAUCGCUGUUGUCACUGCCAAGUAUCAGGGAUUACUGGAAACAGAACAAAAUCACAUCUGUGCUGUUUCCAGCUACUGUGAUGACGAGGGACAGAUUCAGGGCUCUGCUUUGGAACAUUCAUCCCAGUGACCCAGAGGAGGACAAAAAAAAUGAUGAGAAGAAGGGAACACCAACUUAUGACAAGUUGUUCAGGAUCAAGCCCCUCAUGGACGACAUCCUCAGUGCCUGCCAGGCUCAUUAUCACCCAAGGAGAGAAGUGGCUGUUGAUGAGAGAAUGGUGGCCACCAAGGCAAAAACUGGUAUGACCCAGUUUAUGAAGGACAAACCCACGAGGUGGGGGAUCAAGCUGUUUGUGUUGGCUGACUCGAGCAACGGCUACACAAUAAAUUUCAACAUUUACACAGGCAAAACACACACACAAACAGUGCACGGGCUCUCGUACGAUGCUGUGAUGCACCUGAUACAGCCAUCAUACCUCGGCACUGGCUACCACAUUUACAUGGACAAUUUUUACACAAGCCCCCAGUUAUUCCUCGACUUGGCCCACAUGAAGUUUGGAGCCUGUGGAACAUACAGGGACAACGGGAAAGGGUGUCCAACUGGGAGAGAAAAUGCUCUCACCAGAAAAUCAGAGAGGGGCGCAUUGAGAUGGAUCAGGGAGGGCUCCCUGGUCUUUGUGAAGUGGAUGGACUCACGGGAGGUGUCCGUAUGCUCCACAAUCCAUCCAGCAGUUUCUGGGGAGGUGAUCAAGAGGAGAGUGAAGGAGAAAGAUGGAAGCUGGGCAGUGAAGAACAUCCCCUGCCCCACCCCAAUCAUCGCCUACAACAAGAACAUGGGUGGGGUUGACCUGUCUGACCAGCUGCUACAGUACUAUUCUACCCAUCGCAGAAGUGCAAGCUGGUACCACACCCUCUUUUUGCACCUUGUGGACAUCGCCACCACGAAUGCCUACAUCCUGCACUGUGACAUCAGCGCCUCGAAUCAGGUGAAGCCCAUGUCCCACAAGGACUUCCAAACUGAACUGGUGUCCCAGCUGUGUGGGGUGGACAGCACAGGCUUGCCCAUCAAGAGGAGGGCUGACCACAUCCCUGUUGCCAUCGCCAUGGUAACAAAUGCCAGCAUGAAGGCCACACAAGGCCGCAGAAUUUGCCAACACUGCCACCAGGUGGACAAAAAAAGAAAUCUCACUCCCUGGAAGUGUCAAUCCUGUGAUGUGGCUCUGUGUCUCAUUCUGAACAGAAACUGCUUUGCAGAGUGGCAUAGAUAAAAAAAAAAAAGGCACCUCAUUUUAUACAGUUGUAGUACAGGGGUGUCAAACUCAAGACUCGGGGGACCAUUUCAGCCUGUGGUGCAGAUGUACCCGGCCUGCAAGAUCAUAUCAUAUUUUUAUUUUUACUGGUCCACUGUUAUGAAGUCUGCAGAUUUCCUCCUGUAUAAAAAUAUAAACUAAACCUUGAUGCUUUAAAAUAUCCAUGUUAAGACAAAAAAUCUAAAAAUUAAAGGGCAAAAAUAACAAGAUAAAAGUCAGGAAUGUGGACAUUAAUUUGUCUUUUCAUUUGACAUAUUCAAUUUGCUUUCACAAUUACAACUUAUGAUUUUCACAUUUUAUUUCUUAUUUUGACCUUUUAAUUCAUAAUUUUGAAUUUUUCUCUCAUAUUUGACCUUCUACAUUCACAAUGUUUAAUUGCAAUUUAUAUUUUGACUUCUAAAACUCAUGAAUUUGAAUUGUAUGUCACAUUUUGACCUCUUCAACUCUAACUUUCAGUUUUAAUUCCAUAUUUUGACCUUUUAGACCUAGAUUUUGCCUUCAAAAUACCAAAUGUCAAAUUUUAUCUCAUAUUUUGAAUUUUAAUGUUUUAUUUUGACUUUUAAUUUCAUGUUUGACCUUUUGAACUCAUAAGAUUGACCUUUUUAUCUUAGAUUUUGAGCCUUUUAAAUUACCAUUUUGGCUUUUUUUUUUAAAUCUCAAAAUCAUUUACCAUCAAUGCUGAGUCCCACCGCCCCCAUAAUUCAUCACAUCAGGUUGACAGUUUUGGGUUGAAUGUUGACCCUGUUAGAAUAUCAGGUUAGACCUACAUUCAGAAUCCGGCUGUGACUGUGUUUGACACCCCUGUUGUAGUAUGUCUAUAUGCAUGUUUUUUAUAGCAAAUAUUCAUAUAUAGUUUUAGUAUAUUUUAGUUUUACCUUUAUAUUUUUAUAUUUUUCAACCUGUUAACGUUUUCAAGUACCAUAACAGUUCUUUGAGCAUGUUUGUGUUUUUUUUUAUUGUAAUAAAUAGUAUAUUUUCUCAAUUUGGAGUUGAUGAUUUGUAUGUAUUUUUGGGCCCAAUUGUUAUAAAGUAAGCUAACGUAAAAAAAAAAACAAAAAAAGAACAAUUACCAGAUCAAAUAGGUGAAGUUGUGCUCAACAAGAAGAUACCAAACAUGGGUAUGGUAAACAUUUUUAUGUGGUUUAGAAAGGAAAAGUAUCCAAUAAUGGCCAAAAUAGGCUCAAACCACUAGGGGUUAAAUCAGUCCUAACCUCUGUUCUUUUCAACAGAUUCAGUGAAUUAAAUGUUAUCAAAGUUAACAUGUCUUUAAUGCAUUAAUGGUUAACAGUGCUAAAUGUUGGUUCUUUUGGUAUCUCUCUUCUUUAAAUGAUGCUGUACAGGUAACAAUGUUCCUCCUCCUCAACCAGACAGAGGGCCAGAGAAUCAGCAUCACAAAGGACCAUACAAUGACGGCCUCGUUUACGAAAAUGAUGAUCAAGACCCAGCCUACCUACGAGAUGGCCACAGCGGAAAACAGAGCACCCUAC